This is an unclassified non-coding RNA of Callithrix jacchus (white-tufted-ear marmoset), 117 nucleotides long. It matches the Rfam family "Metazoan signal recognition particle RNA". Rfam says of the family: The signal recognition particle (SRP) is a universally conserved ribonucleoprotein. It is involved in the co-translational targeting of proteins to membranes. The eukaryotic SRP consists of a 300-nucleotide 7S RNA and six proteins: SRPs 72, 68, 54, 19, 14, and 9. Lineage: Eukaryota; Metazoa; Chordata; Mammalia; Primates; Cebidae. The record is from Ensembl.
GCUGGGUGUGGUGGCUCACACCUGUGAUCCCACCACUUUGGGAGGCAGAGGUGGGUGGAUCACUUGAGGUCAGGAGUUCAAGACCAGCCUGACCAACAUGGUGAAACCCCAUCUCUA